AUUGAACGCUGGCGGCGUGCCUAACACAUGCAAGUCGAGCGGUAACAGGUGUAGCAAUACAUGCUGACGAGCGGCGGACGGGUGAGUAACGCUUGGGAAUCUGCCUAUUAGUGGGGGACAACCCGGGGGAAACUCGGGCUAAUACCGCAUACGCACUACGGUGGAAAGCCGGGGACCGCAAGGCCUGGCGCUAACAGAUGAGCCCAAGUCGGAUUAGCUAGUUGGUAGGUAACGGCCACCAAGGCGACGAUCCGUAACUGGUCUGAGAGGACGACCAGUCACACCGGAACUGAGACACGGUCCGGACUCCUACGGGAGGCAGCAGUGGGGAAUAUUGGACAAUGGGCGAAAGCCUGAUCCAGCGACGCCGCGUGGGUGAAGAAGGCCUGCGGGUU
RNAcentral lists this ribosomal RNA (395 nucleotides) under uncultured bacterium. Its description in RNAcentral is "bacterial SSU rRNA". It matches the Rfam family "Bacterial small subunit ribosomal RNA", at positions 29 to 424 of the family's 1533-position model. The record is from RNAcentral.